Molecule: ribosomal RNA, 510 nt
Filed under: uncultured bacterium
Lineage: Bacteria
Description: partial 16S ribosomal RNA
Rfam family: Bacterial small subunit ribosomal RNA
Source: RNAcentral
GACGAACGCUGGCGGCGUGCCUAAUACAUGCAAGUCGAGCGAAUGACGAGAAGCUUGCUUCUCUGAUUUAGCGGCGGACGGGUGAGAAACACGUGGGCAACCUGCCCUACAGAUCGGGAUAACUCAGGGAAACCUGGGCUAAUACCGGAUAAUCCUUCGAAUCACAUGUUUUGAAGUUGAAAGGCGCUUCGGCGUCACUGUAGGAUGGGCCCGCGGUGCAUUAGCUAGUUGGUGGGGUAACGGCCUAUCAAGGCAACGAUGCAUAGCCGACCUGAGAGGGUGAUCGGCCACAUUGGGACUGAGACACGGCCCAAACUCCUACGGGAGGCAGCAGUAGGGAAUCUUCCACAAUGGACGAAAGUCUGAUGGAGCAACGCCGCGUGAGUGACGAAGGUUUUCGGAUCGUAAAACUCUGUUGUAAGGGAAGAACAAGUACGUUAGGAAAUGAACGUACCUUGACGGUACCUUAUUAGAAAGCCACGGCUAACUACGUGCCAGCCGCCGCGGUAA